Molecule: ribosomal RNA, 324 nt
Filed under: Clostridioides difficile
Lineage: Bacteria; Bacillati; Bacillota; Clostridia; Peptostreptococcales; Peptostreptococcaceae
Description: bacterial SSU rRNA
Rfam family: Bacterial small subunit ribosomal RNA
Source: RNAcentral
GUGAGCCAGUACAGGAUGGACCCGCGUCUGAUUAGCUAGUUGGUAAGGUAACGGCUUACCAAGGCGACGAUCAGUAGCCGACCUGAGAGGGUGAUCGGCCACAUUGGAACUGAGACACGGUCCAAACUCCUACGGGAGGCAGCAGUGGGGAAUAUUGCACAAUGGGCGAAAGCCUGAUGCAGCAACGCCGCGUGAGGGAUGAAGGCCUUCGGGUCGUAAAACGCUGUCCUCAAGGAAGAUAAUGACGGUACUUGAGGAGGAAGCCCCGGCUAACUACGUGCCAGCAGCCGCGGUAAUACGGAGGGGGCUAGCGUUAUCCGGAUU